This 143-nucleotide non-coding RNA is filed under the name marine eukaryotic metagenome. Its description in RNAcentral is "Ruegeria cis2 sRNA". It matches the Rfam family "Ruegeria cis2 sRNA". From Rfam's summary of the family: Cis-encoded. Targets ABC transporter. The record is from RNAcentral.
AUGUGGGUUGUAGUUCAGAAAGAUAAAGCCGCGCGCCUGAUCGAUCUCAUGAAACAGGGGGUUCCAGUCAAACAUGGCAAGCAUGUAUCCCGGUAAGGUAUUUGCCAGAAACAUCUUACCAGACGCGAUCAUGUUCGCCCGCU